This 2416-nucleotide long non-coding RNA is filed under the name Daphnia pulex (common water flea). RNAcentral describes it as "uncharacterized LOC124209199, transcript variant X3". Lineage: Eukaryota; Metazoa; Arthropoda; Branchiopoda; Diplostraca; Daphniidae. The record is from RNAcentral.
UGUGCUGCUCCGCUCUUCUACCGGGAUGUGUUUCAAGCUGGAAACCGAUAGCAGUUCGCGUCACGAGUAAGGAGCUCUGAUGUUGCGCAAUAAAUGUUUCUCCGAAAAGCCUCUCGACCUCCUGCACGGCUUCCACUGCGUUCCGCAAUUGUUUGUAGCGCAGAAUGAUCCAUCGGCAAGUCAAGAACUGGGCCAAGUAGGAAAAGGAGACCGUCCCGGUUAGAAUGGUGAAGAUGAUGGGCAUAGUUCGAUCGGAUAAUAACGCUUGAAACUGGGUCUUCCUUCUCCGGCGUUCUCCCCAUUGGAAUGGAAUUAGCGCCAUCCCGUCCACACCAUCUAGCGAAGAAGGAAACAAAUACGAAAUGCUGCCAUCUAGCAAUAAAAAAGGAAAGGCUUACUUGGAAGUGACGGAACUAUAAGUAGAAACCAACAUGGCAGCGACCAGCGUGGUGAGAACUGAGAAGUGCUUUAACAUUUCUUAAGAUUUGUCGUUCUAUCGUUCUUUUAACUACCUGUGACUUAUUUUCAUACUGAAUAACUCCCAAGAUGUAAUUUCAUUGUUCAUUCAGUCUUUCAGUAACUAAGCUUAGAAAAUUGCCAGUGGAACAUGUGAUUAGGAGCAAGAGUUGGAAUGAAGAAUAGUUCAACAGGCCUACAAGUGUCCAUGGAUACCUUUUUUAUUUCAGAUGGACAACUCUGACAACAAGGAUUUUUUGGGAGUUGCUGUUGAUUUCUAUCUCCGACACAAUUUCUCAGAAAUUAAUUACUUGAUACACCAGUCUUCAAUGAUUAGUAGAUUUGAUGAAUAACAACGGCAAUACCGAUAAACCCUUGGCAUUCAUUUGUUCCCGAUGAACGGCACUAUCUAUUACCCAUUAAAAAUGUGAAUAAAAACAAUAAGAUGAGGAAUGCGGAUCAAAAACAGUGUUGGAGUAAAAUGUUGGAUUUGUCAUUGAAGUUGGAUAGAAAGGAGGAGAGUAAUCCCAGUUGUUCCAGUAGUAGGAGGAAUAGUCUUGCUGCUGUGGUUGCUGCUCCGUUCGGAAUCCAUUCGAGUUAUUGAAGUUGGACUGGGGACUUACGACGUGUUGUGGACAGCUGGUAGCAAGCCAUUCGGAUUGAAGUGGAGACGACGAUGAUGAUCCGGACGUGGAGUAGUUGAUUGGUUCCACGGGUGGAACUGCCGGAGGAUCCGAAUAAAAUCCAGGAGUUGGAAGGACUUGAGUUGAAACGGACGUACCAUGUUGACGUUGGCGAGAGACGUAAGGUGAUGAUCGACGAUGUUGGCGAUUUGUUUCGCAAGUUGAAGUUGCCGUUCUUGAAGAUCCAAGUUGGCGGACACGCCGACGGCGAUUCUGAAACCACCACUGAUGCAAUCAAGAGGAAAAAUUAAUUUCAGAAACUCCAAUCAGCUGGGCGAUGCGUCGACGACCUUCUCGAUUGGGAAACGGAUCUCUGUUGAAUUCUGCGUCGAGUACCUCCAGCUGGACCUCGUCGUAAAAGUGGCGCUGACGACCUGAUGCUGAAGCAGACUUCGUAGUGAAACCAACUGGAUAAUAAUCUGAAAAUUAUCCAGGCGGAAGUACUCAAUGGUCAUUGCUGUCCAGGAUCAACAGCUUAUUGGAAGAUUUUUUAGGUAUUAACCUUGCGGUGUUUCUUCUCGUCUUUGCCAGCAUCAGAUAAUCCAAAAUAUCCAGCCAGCUCAGCGUUUGACUUCUCAAAGGCUUCGUUUUCACCUUCCUCCCGCGGCAAAACCAUUCGGUGCCGUAAGUUAGGACUACAGUGACCCAACGACACCAGCCCCUUGAAGGUGGUAGAACGAGCUUAUCGCCGCUAAAGUGCAACUAUAGAAAAUUUCAUGGCCAAGACGAACCUGCCGCCACACCGGCACUUCCUCGAUGGUAUAAGAAGCCAGUUAUUGCAGAACGAAGUAGUUUAUAAGCUUUCCGGAUCCAGGUGCAAGGGGUGUCUGUAUUGACGUAGUGACGUCACAUAGACUUGCUGAAGGUCUCCGUUUAUUUCUCUGACCAACCUGGUAAAGUCUGAGCUCCUUCGUUGCUGCCCAACGUGCACAUGGAUUUGAUGUAGCCAGAUGGUUAAAGGUGUUCCUGGACUGUGUAAAGGGAAAAUGAUUGAACACAAGAUAGGUUGAUACUGAAAGAAUAUUUCUUUCAGUUUCAGUGUAGAGUAAAAGUUCCAAUGAUUUUGUAUUAAGUCUUAGAUGCAUCUAGUUUCAUGUAAAUUUUGUUUCAACAAUAGCUUUCAGUUGCUGUCCGAUGUGGGACGUUGUUGCAGCCAAUUCUGGUGAAAGAUCUUUUUGCAUAAUAUUAAACUGACUGUUCCUUGAUGCUGGUGUCGUGUUACCGAAGUUGCAUCAUUAUUUUGUUUAAUUGUUAUUGGGUCUGCAGUUUAUCGUUUA